UUGGGGUAGCCCCCAAAAUAUUGGGACAAAUAAAAAAAGACAACUCUGUUCCGCAGAGUAGCUGUUGACAUUAUAGUUGCGCAGGCACUUUGUUGUCUCUAGAAAACCUCAGGCCAAUCGCACAUUCUGAUGACGGCGACUUUGCAUUCGGAUGUCAUCCAUAACAACUUUCGAUGCCAGUUUCUGCGCCUACCCUGGUGACCAUGGGUAACAGGGAAUCGGGGUUCCAUUCUGUACAGGGACUCUGAGAAAUGGCUACCACAUGCAAGGAAGGCAGCAGGCACGCAAAUGACCCACUCCCGAUGCGGGAAGGUAGUGACGA
Molecule: ribosomal RNA, 322 nt
Filed under: Pelobates cultripes (western spadefoot toad)
Lineage: Eukaryota; Metazoa; Chordata; Amphibia; Anura; Pelobatidae
Rfam family: Eukaryotic small subunit ribosomal RNA
Source: RNAcentral